This 468-nucleotide ribosomal RNA is filed under the name uncultured bacterium. RNAcentral's name for it is "partial 16S ribosomal RNA". It matches the Rfam family "Bacterial small subunit ribosomal RNA", at positions 28 to 507 of the family's 1533-position model. The record is from RNAcentral.
GACGAACGCUGGCGGCGUGCUUAACACAUGCGAGUCGAACGGAAAGGCCCUGCUUUUGUGGGGUGCUCGAGUGGCGAACGGGUGAGUAACACGUGAGUAACCUGCCCUUGACUUUGGGAUAACUUCAGGAAACUGGGGCUAAUACCGGAUAGGAGCUCCUGCUGCAUGGUGGGGGUUGGAAAGUUUCGGCGGUUGGGGAUGGACUCGCGGCUUAUCAGCUUGUUGGGGGGGUAGUGGCUUACCAAGGCUUUGACGGGUAGCCGGCCUGAGAGGGUGACCGGCCACAUUGGGACUGCGAUACGGCCCAGUCUCCUACGGUAGGCAGCAGUGGGGAAUAUUGCACAAUGGGCGCAAGCCUGAUGCAGCAACGCCGCGUGCGGGAUGACCGCCUUCGGGUUAUAAACCGCUUUCGCCUAUGACGAAGCGUGAUUGACGGUAAUGGGUAAAGAAGCACCGGCUAACUACGUG